This 2975-nucleotide transfer RNA is filed under the name Marmota monax (woodchuck). The stretch from base 281 to 352 matches the Rfam family "tRNA". Lineage: Eukaryota; Metazoa; Chordata; Mammalia; Rodentia; Sciuridae. The record is from RNAcentral.
UGACAGCCAUAAGUGUAAUUUUAAAGUUUUUGAUAACCAUAUUUUAAAAAAGGAAAAGGAACUAUCCCCCAUAGAACCAAAUUACAGCUUUUUAAUUAAUUUUAAUUAAUUUUUAAUUACAACUUUUUAAUUUUUUUAGAUUAGAAAAUUCAUGGUGAUUUUCCUCUUUUUCACCAGUACAGGCUCCAAACUAGGGCCAAGGAAUAGCAGUGCUAGGGAUAUGGCUCUGAUCAUAUUUUCAGGGUCAUAAUAAGAAUUUUUAAAAAUCUAUCUUAGGGUUGGUGAUGCAGCUCAGUGGGAGAGCACUUGCCCGGCAUGCACGAGGCCCUGGGUUAGAGUCCCAGCACCUCAGGAAAAAAGAGAGAGGAGGAAGAAGAAACGUUGCUCAUCCCUCCUACCACCCUAAUUGCUCUUAGGCCUGUGUGUUCAGGGUCUGACCUCCACAGCCCAGAGCUGAGGGAAGACCCUUGUCAGGCUCACAGUGGGAGAAGGCCCAGGCAGAGCUGGCCAGAGCCCAACCAGACUUCCAUGAAAGACAACGGCUGCCCUAGGUGGUGCGCUCCCUGCUAUCCUCCCUGGCCACUGUCCCUGGGCCACCUGAAGAUGCCUGGUUUACACUGGUGUUCACUGGCUGAGUCCAAAGGAGAAUGCCAGCUCACAAGUAAAUAUUUGCCAUUCUGAGGACUACCUAUGUCUGGGCAGAGAGAAACAAACAUUUACCACCGGCUUGAUUUCAUCACUAGGCCACUGAGCAAGAAAAAUAAUCCCUUGUUACUGAAAGCAAGAUGUGACUUUAAAAACAUCCAAACACAUUUUGCUUUUAGACACAAACACAGGUAACUCCAAAUCACCAAGGAAGGAAAAUAUCAGUUUGGGUUCCACACUCCUCUACCCUUCAAAAUGCAUUCUGAGGGAAAUCCCUCCCUGGAUUUGGCGAUUUAUGACCGUCUUCAAGUUGUCUGGAGUCAGACAUCAAACUGAAUGAGCGGAGUUGGAACAUCUAAUGCAGCGGUACUCAGACUAUGCUAACACUGUCCCCAGUGUCCCCAGAGGGCCAUUUGGUGGAGGGUGAGGGUGUUUCCACAGCCGUCACCUUCAGUAGUGUAGAGGGCUACUGCAGUUAAGGGACAGGGGCCAACGUGUUCCAAGUCCUGCCAUGCAUGGGACAGUCCGUGCAGCAUGACUUGCUCCACUCAGAAUUCCCACAGAGAACCAAUCAAAGAGUUUCCUCAGGAAUUUAGAAUUAGACUAAGAUUCCAACUCAGUAUAAUUGUUCUCUCAAACCAAAAAGCUGGGACUUAGGAGCUGGGCGCUAGGACCAUUAUUUAGUUUGGGGACUGGGGAACAGAGGGAGCUGGUCUGCAGUGAGAGUGGACAGCUAAGGAACAGGACAAAGUGACAGGAGACUCUUGCUCAAACCCUCAUGUAAGCCUGGGGUCCUUACUGUACCCGAGGCUAAUCGACGACCCUGCUGCCCGUCUCUGUGACGCCCUGUUACUUGCAAACAAAAAAUUCUCACCUGGGAGAAACUACCUUCUGCACUACUUCCUUCUGCCACAUGAAUGGAGGGACAGAGAGCUGGACAGAAGGGCAGAGAGGCGCACAGGAAGCAAACUGCAAUGACUCCACAGCACCUGGGUUAGGAGGUCAGCCCAGGCGAGAAGGGACUCUAAAAUCCCUUAGGGAAAGGGACUGCGUGAGUUUGAAGCUGUCCAACCUGGAUCCCUCAUCAUGGUGGAGGGAUGAAGUUGUUUUAGCGUAGGUGUCACUGCCAGGGGUGUGUCUGUGGAUUAAAGGUCAGAGAAGGAAACAUCUGCAAGUUGACAGUAAAAUCCCCCUUCAUUUUUUUUUUUUUUUUAAAACUCAUGGGAACUUAACCAAUGAGCCUCAUCCCAAGCCCUGUAUAUUUGUUUAUUUAUUUAUUUUGAGACAGGCAGAGUCUUAUAAGUUGCUUAGGGCCCACAUUGCUGAGACUGGCUUUGAACUUGAGAUCCUCCUGCUUCAGCCUCCUGAGGUGCUGGGAUUACAAGUGUGCGCUAUCAUGCCUGACCCCAAAAUACUUUCUUUAAAAGGAAAAUGAAAAAUAAAAGACAAAAGCCCUCAUGCCCAAGGGAAAAACAUCUCUUAAAACAUUAGUGCCUGCGUUUAUAACUAGUCUUCUUUUUUUCUUUUUCCUUUCAGUGCUAGGGAUCAAUCCAUGGCCUCGUGCCUGCCAGACACUCUACCACGGAGCCCCAUCCCCAGCCCUUGUAAUUGGCUUUCUACCUGCUUGAGUAGAAUACUCAAGUCUGGUUGAAGGUGGUGGGUUUCAUUUCUGCUACACUGGAACUUGAUGGGGUGGAGCAGGAAGUUUAGGGGAAAUGGUUUAGGGGAUGUUUCUGUGGGUGGUGCCUAACUAUAGGGCUUUAGUCUUGUUUGAGAAGGGAGAUUAAGAACUUUUGGUUUUGUGAGCCAGAAAAUCAUAUACCAAUGACAGAGCAAUGGCUCAGGUAGUUUCCAUCAUCACCUGCCAUGACAGAUGGUGAGCAUGGGCCAGUGACGGAGGCAUGGUGGACGACAGUGUUCCCGUCAGGUGGCUGGCCUGGAGAGGGUGUGUGGCUGAGACUCCAUGCACAGCCUCCAUCCCAAUUUGCUUCUUGGAUUUGCAAGAGGAUGCCAGGUCCUGAGACUGAUGACCAGCACCUUCCCCACGGAUCCUGCUCUUGGCGCUAUCCACCCCUUAUUCCCUCAAGAGUCUUCUCAUCUCUCGACACCUCUGAACAUAGGAUUGGCUUCAGAAUGGAGUGACUUAAAACUCGAAUUAUAGCUGAGUAUGGUGGUACCUGUCAUCCAGCAACUGGGGAGGCUGAGGCCAGCCUGGACAGCUUAUCGGGCCUCUGUCACAAAGCAAAACACUUGAAUUACUGAAACACGAUAUCUUGAUUUCAAGAAUGGAAAAAAAAUUAAACAUGGCAAAAAUCAAGUCUUGUGAAAUA